UACGGAGGGUGCAAGCGUUAUCCGGAUUCACUGGGUUUAAAGGGUGCGUAGGAGGGCAGGUAAGUCAGUGGUGAAAUCUCCAAGCUUAACUUGGAAACUGCCGUUGAUACUAUCUGUCUUGAAUAUUGUGGAGGUGAGCGGAAUAUGUCAUGUAGCGGUGAAAUGCUUAGAUAUGACAUAGAACACCAAUUGCGAAGGCAGCUCACUACACAAUCAUUGACUCUGAGGCA
This 230-nucleotide ribosomal RNA is filed under the name uncultured microorganism. RNAcentral describes it as "partial 16S ribosomal RNA". It matches the Rfam family "Bacterial small subunit ribosomal RNA", at positions 524 to 753 of the family's 1533-position model. The record is from RNAcentral.